Molecule: ribosomal RNA, 497 nt
Filed under: uncultured bacterium
Lineage: Bacteria
Description: partial 16S ribosomal RNA
Rfam family: Bacterial small subunit ribosomal RNA
Source: RNAcentral
GAUGAACGCUGGCGGCGUGCCUAAUACAUGCAAGUCGAGCGAACAGAUGAGGAGCUUGCUCCUCUGACGUUAGCGGCGGACGGGUGAGUGACACGCGGAUAACCUACCUAUAAGACUGGGAUAACUUCGGGAAACCGGAGCUAAUACCGGAUAAUAUAUUGAACCGCAUGGUUCAAUAGUGAAAGACGGUUUUGCUGUCACUUAUAGAUGGAUCCGCGCCGCAUUAGCUAGUUGGUAAGGUAACGGCUUACCAAGGCAACGAUGCGUAGCCGACCUGAGAGGGUGAUCGGCCACACUGGAACUGAGACACGGUCCAGACUCCUACGGGAGGCAGCAGUAGGGAAUCUUCCGCAAUGGGCGAAAGCCUGACGGAGCAACGCCGCGUGAGUGAUGAAGGUCUUCGGAUCGUAAAACUCUGUUAUUAGGGAAGAACAAAUGUGUAAGUAACUAUGCACGUCUUGACGGUACCUAAUCAGAAAGCCACGGCUAACUACGUG